GAUGAGAACAUAAUAAUAAAUCCAGGCCGAUUUGGAUUUCUGCAGUAAAGUGAUAAGCUUUAUGGCUCAUUGAGGAGAAUCAGAUCGGUAGUAAUGGCGAGGAUUUGGAGGCAGACCACGAGACAAUUGUAGUAAGUCGCCGGCGAGGGGAUAUGUUUUACAUAAAAUUGGGCCAGUUCUCAAUACUAUCAGCCCACAUAAUUGGUCCCUGUAAAGUCUGUGUCAAGUAACAAUGGUUUGACGUGGUCAUUUGGAGCUUAAUUAUUCUUUGAUUUUUUAAACGACGUGGCAUAGCUUAGAGAGCUUCAUAU
Molecule: long non-coding RNA, 311 nt
Filed under: Brassica napus (rape)
Lineage: Eukaryota; Viridiplantae; Streptophyta; Magnoliopsida; Brassicales; Brassicaceae
Description: long non-coding RNA (BNAP_LNC007604)
Source: RNAcentral